Molecule: long non-coding RNA, 1297 nt
Organism: Ceratitis capitata (Mediterranean fruit fly)
Lineage: Eukaryota; Metazoa; Arthropoda; Insecta; Diptera; Tephritidae
Exons: 3
Source: RefSeq, a predicted model, not a curated record
UUUUUUUAUAACAACUGGCAAAUGUAAUUCGCCUGCUGCCCAAGUUUUUCCAAACAUUGUAACCAGUUCCCCAGAAUACCAAAUUCAAUUUCAAGUGUUAAAAAUAAGUAUCAAUAUUUACUUUAUUCGUAACAGUGAGAAUAGGCAUGCUAGAGUACAAUUUAACACUGGCUUCGCCUUGCACAAUUUAAGCGAAACUCCUUUUGUAAGUUGGCGGCCUUCGGCCACGCUUCUGAUUGUAACCCUGGGUCGGACCAACACCGGCUUCGCUUUGCACAGUAUUUUUGAGCGACACUUUUAUUUUAAUUUUGAGGUGAUAUGGCAACACACCCUUAUUGCCAUUAUCAGAUAUUUCUCUUGGAAACCGUUUCGAAAUAAUAUACAAAAUCAAAACAUUACUUUACUGCUAACCAAAUGAAAUAUAAAUACAACUAUUUUUAUAAUCGCGUGUGAACAGAUUAAAGUUACUAUUUUGGAUAGUGUGUGUUAAAGAAGUGAACCAUUUAUGUGUAAAAUAUAAUACACAGACAUAUAUUAGAUCAACAGCAACAACUCUUGCGAAUCUCAUAAGGAUUGGUCAAUUAGUUUGGCUGAAACAAGAAUCGGAACCGUAAAAGAAAACACGGCCUGGCGCACCCUCACGAAAUAGAUGAUUGCUGCGAAAACUUCACUGUCAAAAGUUUUUUCUAAGUUUGGUUUACACACGGCAAGGGGACACGUCUCACGUACACGUCUAUGAAUGAAUUUACUAUAAAUUAUGUGAAUUCGCUUUGGUGUACACCGAAUUGAAGAACAAAUUUGGGCUUAUUUUACUCAGUUCUGCAAAAUUUUCUUUGGUGUGUAGACAAAAUUGGUGACUCAUUCGUGUUGGUUUUCGUAUGUGCAUAUGUGUGAUAAAAACUGAACAAUUAUCACUUGAUAAAUAAAUGUAUAUUUCUCUGUGGAAAAGUGGCAUUAACGGAUAAAUAUAAGCAUUUAAUCACUUUAUCUGUAAAAUGAAGGUUCUUUCUAAGUUUACAAUAUAUCUUUGGUUUCACACGCAGUACAAUUACUCAAGUUCGGAGCGUCGUCAAAGUGUCAUAUUUGCAACAUGAGUGUGUUUUCGUUUAAAUUUUUAUCGGCUUUCUUUAAUAGUAGUUUCAGUCACAGGCUUACGUAUGGGAAAAAUUUUAGUUUUUGAGUAACUCUAUUUUAAAGUUAGCAUGAUAUAUAUAAAAUAAGAUCCGAAUUGUGAAAACAUACAUCGCUGAGUAAGUUAAUAUUACAUCUGAAAAUAAUAAAUUCAUUUGUAAAGCGA